This is a long non-coding RNA of Gallus gallus (chicken), 3527 nucleotides long. RefSeq lists it as uncharacterized. The record is from RefSeq and is a predicted model, not a curated record. Lineage: Eukaryota; Metazoa; Chordata; Aves; Galliformes; Phasianidae. The transcript is spliced from 2 exons.
GGAACAGGGUGUAAAGACUGCUUCGGGUACAGGCAAGCGGGGCUGGGAGGAAGCCUCCGGCCACCACCCGAAGAGCGCUGUCAGCAGGAAUAGGCUGCAAACGCUGCUACUCGGGAUCGCGGAAGGCUCCUCACCAAGAGUAUCAAACAUCUUUUCGCUAUACAAGGAACAGUAGCAGGCGGUCGAUGCUGAGGAACCACUGCCAGGCAGGCUCACGGAAGAACUACACCCUCUUAGCAAACGAGCAAAGCCCUCGACAACAGCCACGCCGGCAGGGAAGGACGUGGGACCUGCAGCUCCACAGGACGGCAGGGAGACCACGUCUCAGCGGCUCACAGACCGGCUCGCAGUACCGGACUCGGCAGGGCGCAGCUAAGGUGAGCCGCGGCUGCACAGCAGCUGACCGCAGGGCCGCGGGACAGCCGGCUGGCACUUGUUCCCCCGAGGAGCACAGCCACAAUCCACCGCAGCCGGCGGGACAGCAGCGCUCACUAGCGGCCGCUCCCGUCCCGGCUCCAGCAACGCUUUCAAGCUGGAGCACUGGGUUAACGGGAGAGACCUUCCCGGACUUGUCCCCUUCUGCUUUCCUCACAACCGCCCCGCUUGUAUGCACGCCACCCAAGUUAUUAUACAGGUAAUCUAAAGCACUGCUUCCUAAGUAGGACGGAGUAAUCAGCUGGAUUUAAUAAUAGAAAACAUACCCCAGCAAGCAUAAAGUCACCAUGUCUCUUCAUAAAGCACCUUUAGACCCAGCAAGCAGUGGAAGGGUACUAGCAGUCAGCCCGACCUCACCAGCCUGCAGUCACCAGGCAGGAGGGAGGGGGCAACAUCAGAAGAGAAUAACUAAAAAGGUUUGUGUUUAACUGAGGCUGGAGCUGCAAUAAAUUCAUCCUAGAUACUGGAAUUUUCAGCACAGCACACAUACCUCCACUGCUACUCAGUCUCAGAAAACCAAACCAAAUUUAGAUGAAUAAAUAGAUGGAUAUCACGAAGACCAAGAAGAAAGAACCUUAGAUCCGAGUCCAAGGUCAGUGAGCUGUGCAGAGCCAGGACCUGCUUGAUGCCUUUACAGUUGAAAAACACCACCACCACACAUACAGGUUCUAAUUAGGCAGCUUUAUAUCUUGCACAUAUUCUGAUUAAUUUUUAAUAGGCUUUAUAGGGGUUUGGUUUCCCUUGAGACAUCACAGAGCUUCUAGCACUUCUCACCCUAGUGAAGCAGGGCACCACUUUCCCAAAGGCUGAAAAUAGCUGAAGCCCUCGCACAACAGCAGCUUCAAUCAGUAUCAGAGCUGUGAUAGGAUGACUCCACUGUGAACUUUAUGUUUAUUUAGAAUGAGUACAAUAUUAAAUACAACAAAAGGCUUUUGCAUGCUUAACCUGCUGCAAUUUUAAGGGAAAUGCUGAACUAUAAAACAGCCAAAAUCAAUUUUCAGUGUUCUCUACCUUCCUCACAUGUCUUGGAUACCCACAACAAUUAAAUAUUGUCUUCUGUGAACAUCACCCAAUCCCACUCAAAUUACUGACUGGAAGAAACUAACCCUGGUGUUCUGUCUUCUGCAUAGGGUAAAAUAAACUAAGAGGUAUAAAUACCCAAGGUUCUGCAAAAGAAUACUGGGAUACUUACAAAAACAUUUCUUCCUUUAAGUAUUUGUUAAAAUAAGUUUCAGAACUUAUUUGUGACUUACAAACAUAAUAAAUGUUACAAACUCUAAGGUAAGUAUGGAUUGCCUUGUGUUUGUAAUGCAAUACAUUGCAAAAAUAGCUGGUAAAGUUGAACACGCCUAUCAAAGACAGUUGAACAGCGGUCCAGAGCUGGAUUACACGUUUGAAGAAACUGCAAAGUCAAAAAGGCACAGGUGGGAACUUAAAACCAGUAAAUAGGUGCAGGCAGCAGCGUAGCAAUUGGACAGAUCAAUACAAUGGGAAAGGCGUUACAACAAGGGUGUGAUGAUGAAAGGACUGGCACAAUAGAAAGGUGCUAUAAGGGAAGGGAAGAAGAUUUCUCACCCAUAUCAGAAGAUUCCAGGUUUGCAGGAGAAAGCUUUCCAGAGAUUUUUCUUUAGUAAAGAGACCCUUCCCCAGGGACAGUCAGCCCUUAAAUGGGGGGGUCUAAGAGAGAUACAGCUAGGCUCCACCCCUUCCUGUCACACAGCUGAAUUGCCUUCACCUGUGCUCCCAGGGCCGACCGGGUCCUUUCCCCAGGUGCUCAAUCAUUGUUCAGAUCGUGACUCAACAGUUCCCAUGCAGCAUGGUAUUCUGCAAACCUGAACAUUUUGUAGGCUCUUAGCCAGUUUCCCAGGUGUCAGCAGGGAACCUGACAAAAAAGAGGCAGCAAGCAUGCCAGCAGAAGUCAGGCACCUAGCAAGAUGAUGUUACUGGAAGGAGACAUUUCUGCGGUUCAGCCUCUGCCUACUACAGUUGUUAAUCAUGGUAUAUCUAUAGCAACAGCUAGUGAUUUCAGUGCUGCAGAAGAGAGGCAAAAGACAGAACAGGUUCUGCAGAAUUAACUGGCUUUAAAAUACUGCUGAGUAAGCAUCAAUGGUACAGGGUUUUGAAUGUCACUUCCCCCCCCCCCUUUUUUUUUUUUAAGUUGUAAAAACAUAUUUAACUUAAGAACUAAUAUACCCAGUUAGAAUUCCCAACCAUAAUGAAAUAAAGGUAUUAGUUUAUCUUUAGCCUUGAUGUUCAGAAUUAAGAAUCAAUGUGUGGUAAAUCCCUUCUUGUACUUUCAGAUAAGUGAAAACACUUCUUAUUCAGACUGAAAAGACCAAGUAAAUGACAAGUGCUCAGUUCAUAUGCUAAACAGUUACACAAAGUUUUAAAAAGACUCAAGAAACAGACAAUAAAAGUGUUUGUACUCAAAUAGAUAUUCCUCAAAAAGAAUUCCAGAAGCAUAUGAAGUUUCUAUCAUUCCACAUAGACAUAUAACGUAUCUAAUUCGAUGAUAAAUAAAUGCAGUAUUUGACAGAUUUUUCAAAGUAGAGAGUUUAAAGUAAGCAGAUUUCCUUCAACAAUUAUUCUCACUGAGAACAUCUAUAUACAAAGAUCCCACUAAUGCUUUUCCCAAAAGCCUUUCUAGUCUAUCAGGGCAAUGCUGGCACACCUCCUUCUCAUAGAGUGCUUGUAAUAGUACAAUAAGCAAAAAGCCAGAAUGCAUCUGUCAAUCACUCAAUAGAACUCUAUUUUGCUAUCAACAGAAGCAAAACAAACAAACAAAAAGUUUUUACUUAACAUUUAAGUGCAUAGAGAACUUUCGAAAGAGGUACUAUAAAAUUUAGAUUACUACCUUAAAAAAAAAAGCAGCAAAACAACAUCUGAGACUUCCAUAUCUACAUGUCAGAGCAUUUCAUAUGUUACUCUAAGUCUCAACACCUUUUGUCAGAUUAUUAAAGUAAUAUGGAAAAAAAGCAACUAAAAAAACCCAAUACACAAAUGGAGAUUAAAUCUCUAGUCCUCAGCUGUGGAGGGUGCAUUGGAAAGCUGAACUGUAAGCAAUCAGAAGAAAUAAAGACACUUGAAUGAGA